AGUGAACGCUGGCGGUAGGCCUAACACAUGCAAGUCGAACGGCAGCACAGUAAGAGCUUGCUCUUACGGGUGGCGAGUGGCGGACGUGUGAGGAAUACAUCCGAAUCUACUUUUUCGUGGGGGAUAACGUAGGGAAACUUACGCUAAUACCGCAUACGACCUACGGGUGAAAGCAGGGGAUCUUCGGACCUUGCGCGAUUGAAUGAGCCGAUGUCGGAUUAGCUAGUUGGCGGGGUAAAGGCCCACCAAGGCGACGAUCCGUAGCUGGUCUGAGAGGAUGGUCGGCCACACUGGAACUGGGACACGGACCAGACUCCUGCGGGAGGCAGCAGUGGGGAAUAUUGGACAAUGGGGGCAAGCCUGAUCCAGCCAGACCGCGUGGGUUAAGAAGGCCUUCGGGUUGUAAAGCCCUUUUGUUGGGAAAGAAAAGCAGCAGGUUAAUACCCCGCUGUUCUGACGGUACCCAAAGAAUAAGCACCGGCUAACUUCGUG
RNAcentral lists this ribosomal RNA (492 nucleotides) under uncultured bacterium. Its description in RNAcentral is "partial 16S ribosomal RNA". It matches the Rfam family "Bacterial small subunit ribosomal RNA", at positions 29 to 507 of the family's 1533-position model. The record is from RNAcentral.